Molecule: ribosomal RNA, 1378 nt
Filed under: Winogradskyella sp.
Lineage: Bacteria; Pseudomonadati; Bacteroidota; Flavobacteriia; Flavobacteriales; Flavobacteriaceae
Description: bacterial SSU rRNA
Rfam family: Bacterial small subunit ribosomal RNA
Source: RNAcentral
GAACGGUAACAGGGAAAAGCUUGCUUUUCCGCUGACGAGUGGCGCACGGGUGCGUAACGCGUAUACAAUCUACCUCUUACAGGGGGAUAGCCUUUAGAAAUGAAGAUUAAUACCCCAUGGUAUCACGGUCCGGCAUCGGACUGUGAUUAAAGUUUCGGCGGUAGGAGAUGAGUAUGCGUUCUAUUAGCUAGUAGGUGUGGUAACGGCACACCUAGGCAACGAUAGAUAGGGGCCCUGAGAGGGGGAUCCCCCACACUGGUACUGAGACACGGACCAGACUCCUACGGGAGGCAGCAGUGAGGAAUAUUGGACAAUGGGCGGAAGCCUGAUCCAGCCAUGCCGCGUGCAGGAAGACUGCCCUAUGGGUUGUAAACUGCUUUUGUACAGGAAGAAACCUUUCCACGUGUGGAGAGCUGACGGUACUGUAAGAAUAAGCAUCGGCUAACUCCGUGCCAGCAGCCGCGGUAAUACGGAGGAUGCAAGCGUUAUCCGGAAUCAUUGGGUUUAAAGGGUCCGUAGGUGGAUCGGUCAGUCAGAGGUGAAAUCCUGCAGCUCAACUGUAGAACUGCCUUUGAUACUGCCGGUCUUGAAUUAUUGUGAAGUGGUUAGAAUAUGUAGUGUAGCGGUGAAAUGCAUAGAUAUUACAUAGAAUACCGAUUGCGAAGGCAGAUCACUAACAAUAUAUUGACACUGAUGGACGAAAGCGUGGGGAGCGAACGGGAUUAGAUACCCCCGGUAGUCCACGCCGUAAACGAUGGUCACUAGCUGUUCGGACUUCGGUCUGAGUGGCUAAGCGAAAGUGAUAAGUGACCCACCUGGGGAGUACGUUCGCAAGAAUGAAACUCAAAGGAAUUGACGGGGGCCCGCACAAGCGGUGGAGCAUGUGGUUUAAUUCGAUGAUACGCGAGGAACCUUACCAGGGCUUAAAUGUAGAUUGCAUUAGCUGGAGACAGCUAUUUCUUCGGACCAUCUACAAGGUGCUGCAUGGUUGUCGUCAGCUCGUGCCGUGAGGUGUCAGGUUAAGUCCUAUAACGAGCGCAACCCCUGUUGUUAGUUGCCAGCAUGUAAAGAUGGGAACUCUAGCAAGACUGCCGGUGCAAACCGCGAGGAAGGUGGGGAUGACGUCAAAUCAUCACGGCCCUUACGUCCUGGGCUACACACGUGCUACAAUGGUAUGGACAAUGAGCAGCCACUUCGCGAGAAGGAGCGAAUCUACAAACCAUAUCACAGUUCGGAUCGGAGUCUGCAACUCGACUCCGUGAAGCUGGAAUCGCUAGUAAUCGGAUAUCAGCCAUGAUCCGGUGAAUACGUUCCCGGGCCUUGUACACACCGCCCGUCAAGCCAUGGAAGCUGGGAGUGCCUGAAGUCCGUCACCGCA